CCGUACCGCAAACCGACACAGGUAGUCAAGAUGAGAAUUCUAAGGUGAGCGAGCGAACUCUCGUUAAGGAACUCGGCAAAAUGACCCCGUAACUUCGGGAGAAGGGGUGCUCUUUAGGGUUAACGCCCAGAAGAGCCGCAGUGAAUAGGCCCAAGCGACUGUUUAUCAAAAACACAGGUCUCUGCUAAACCGUAAGGUGAUGUAUAGGGGCUGACGCCUGCCCGGUGCUGGAAGGUUAAGAGGAGUGGUUAGCUUCUGCGAAGCUACGAAUCGAAGCCCCAGUAAACGGCGGCCGUAACUAUAACGGUCCUAAGGUAGCGAAAUUCCUUGUCGGGUAAGUUCCGACCCGCACGAAAGGCGUAACGAUUUGGGCACUGUCUCAACGAGAGACUCGGUGAAAUCAUAGUACCUGUGAAGAUGCAGGUUACCCGCGACAGGACGGAAAGACCCCGUGGAGCUUUACUGUAGCCUGAUAUUGAAAUUCGGCACAGCUUGUACAGGAUAGGUAGGAGCCUUUGAAACGUGAGCGCUAGCUUACGUGGAGGCGCUGGUGGGAUACUACCCUAGCUGUGUUGGCUUUCUAACCCGCACCACUUAUCGUGGUGGGAGACAGUGUCAGGCGGGCAGUUUGACUGGGGCGGUCGCCUCCUAAAAGGUAACGGAGGCGCUCAAAGGUUCCCUCAGAAUGGUUGGAAAUCAUUCAUAGAGUGUAAAGGCAUAAGGGAGCUUGACUGCGAGACCUACAAGUCGAGCAGGGUCGAAAGACGGACUUAGUGAUCCGGUGGUUCCGCAUGGAAGGGCCAUCGCUCAACGGAUAAAAGCUACCCCGGGGAUAACAGGCUUAUCUCCCCCAAGAGUUCACAUCGACGGGGAGGUUUGGCACCUCGAUGUCGGCUCAUCGCAUCCUGGGGCUGUAGUCGGUCCCAAGGGUUGGGCUGUUCGCCCAUUAAAGCGGUACGCGAGCUGGGUUCAGAACGUCGUGAGACAGUUCGGUCCCUAUCCGUCGUGGGCGUAGGAAAUUUGAGAGGAGCUGUCCUUAGUACGAGAGGACCGGGAUGGACAUACCUCUGGUGUACCAGUUGUCGUGCCAACGGCAUAGCUGGGUAGCUAUGUGUGGACGGGAUAAGUGCUGAAAGCAUCUAAGCAUGAAGCCCCCCUCAAGAUGAGAUUUCCCAACUUCGGUUAUAAGAUCCCUCAAAGAUGAUGAGGUUAAUAGGUUCGAGGUGGAAGCAUGG
This 1235-nucleotide ribosomal RNA is filed under the name Staphylococcus aureus. RNAcentral describes it as "partial 23S ribosomal RNA". It matches the Rfam family "Bacterial large subunit ribosomal RNA", at positions 1642 to 2878 of the family's 2925-position model. The record is from RNAcentral. Lineage: Bacteria; Bacillati; Bacillota; Bacilli; Caryophanales; Staphylococcaceae.